This 566-nucleotide ribosomal RNA is filed under the name uncultured bacterium. RNAcentral describes it as "bacterial SSU rRNA". It matches the Rfam family "Bacterial small subunit ribosomal RNA", at positions 302 to 859 of the family's 1533-position model. The record is from RNAcentral.
GAUCGGCCACACUGGAACUGAGACACGGUCCAGACUCCUACGGGAGGCAGCAGUAGGGAAUCUUCCGCAAUGGGCGAAAGCCUGACGGAGCAACGCCGCGUGAGUGAUGAAGGUCUUAGGAUCGUAAAACUCUGUUGUUAGGGAAGAACAAAUUUGUUAGUAACUGAGCAAGUCUUGACGGUACCUAACCAGAAAGCCACGGCUAACUACGUGCCAGCAGCCGCGGUAAUACGUAGGUGGCAAGCGUUAUCCGGAAUUAUUGGGCGUAAAGCGCGCGUAGGCGGUUUCUUAAGUCUGAUGUGAAAGCCCACGGCUCAACCGUGGAGGGUCAUUGGAAACUGGGGAACUUGAGUGCAGAAGAGGAGAGUGGAAUUCCAUGUGUAGCGGUGAAAUGCGCAGAGAUAUGGAGGAACACCAGUGGCGAAGGCGGCUCUCUGGUCUGUAACUGACGCUGAUGUGCGAAAGCGUGGGGAUCAAACAGGAUUAGAUACCCUGGUAGUCCACGCCGUAAACGAUGAGUGCUAAGUGUUAGGGGGUUUCCGCCCCUUAGUGCUGCAGCUAACGCA